Molecule: non-coding RNA, 465 nt
Organism: Brachypodium distachyon (stiff brome)
Lineage: Eukaryota; Viridiplantae; Streptophyta; Magnoliopsida; Poales; Poaceae
Source: RefSeq, marked provisional
UUGCACGGGGUACAAAUAUGCCACUACCGUUAGUUGACCGUUAAGUAAAAGAUGAAAAAACAAUUUUGCCCCUAUGUAAUAUGUUGAUGUUCCAUUUACAACAAAUUACUCAUUUUAGAAAACUUAGCUUUUCAAGGUUUUUAGGAUGCUCAUAAUACCAUUUCCGAGUAAGUUUCAGCAAUAAUGAUUGUAGCAUGAAAAAUUGUAAAAUUUCAAUAGCACUUCCCUGUGAUUUUAAUUAACAUCACAAAAUUCAUAAUAGAUUCAGCAAAUUAAUAUACUAAAACUCAUCAUAGUUUGUGGAGAGAGAGAGGGGGAGAAGAGACCGAGAGGAUAUUUUAGUUCUCUUGUUUCUUUUUGUUUUUUUUGACCUGUGGACCAGGAGUAUUUCGGUCAAUAUAAAAUUGACUUAACGGUCAACUAGCGGUCAACUAACUGUAGUGGCAUAUUUGUACCACAUGUCAA